UGUCGGCGUGCCUAACACAUGCAAGUCGAGCGAUUCUCUUCGGAGAAGAGCGGCGGACGGGUGAGUAACGCGUGGGUAACCUGCCCUGUACACACGGAUAACAUACCGAAAGGUAUGCUAAUACGGGAUAAUAUAAGAAAUUCGCAUGUUUUUCUUAUCAAAGCUCCGGCGGUACAGGAUGGACCCGCGUCUGAUUAGCUAGUUGGUGAGGUAACGGCUCACCAAGGCGACGAUCAGUAGCCGACCUGAGAGGGUGAUCGGCCACAUUGGAACUGAGACACGGUCCAAACUCCUACGGGAGGCAGCAGUGGGGAAUAUUGCACAAUGGGCGAAAGCCUGAUGCAGCAACGCCGCGUGAGCGAUGAAGGCCUUCGGGUCGUAAAGCUCUGUCCUCAAGGAAGAUAAUGACGGUACUUGAGGAGGAAGCCCCGGCUAACUACGUGCCAGCAGCCGCGGUAAUACGUAGGGGGCUAGCGUUAUCCGGAUUUACUGGGCGUAAAGGGUGCGUAGGCGGUCUUUUAAGUCAGGAGUGAAAGGCUACGGCUCAACCGUAGUAAGCUCUUGAAACUGGAGGACUUGAGUGCAGGAGAGGAGAGUGGAAUUCCUAGUGUAGCGGUGAAAUGCGUAGAUAUUAGGAGGAACACCAGUAGCGAAGGCGGCUCUCUGGACUGUAACUGACGCUGAGGCACGAAAGCAUGGGGAGCAAACAGGAUUAGAUACCCUGGUAGUCCACGCCGUAAACGAUGAGUACUAGCUGUCGGAGGUUACCCCCUUCGGUGGCGCAGCUAACGCAUUAAGUACUCCGCCUGGGGAGUACGCUCGCAAGAGUGAAACUCAAAGGAAUUGACGGGGACCCGCACAAGUAGCGGAGCAUGUGGUUUAAUUCGAAGCAACGCGAAGAACCUUACCUAAGCUUGACAUCCUUUUGACCGAUGCCUAAUCGCAUCUUUCCCUUCGGGGACAGAAGUGACAGGUGGUGCAUGGUUGUCGUCAGCUCGUGUCGUGAGAUGUUGGGUUAAGUCCCGCAACGAGCGCAACCCUUGCCUUUAGUUGCCAUCAUUAAGUUGGGCACUCUAGAGGGACUGCCAGGGAUAACCUGGAGGAAGGUGGGGAUGACGUCAAAUCAUCAUGCCCCUUAUGCUUAGGGCUACACACGUGCUACAAUGGGUGGUACAGAGGGCAGCGAAGUCGUGAGGCCAAGCUAAUCCCUUAAAGCCAUUCUCAGUUCGGAUUGUAGGCUGAAACUCGCCUACAUGAAGCUGGAGUUACUAGUAAUCGCAGAUCAGAAUGCUGCGGUGAAUGCGUUCCCGGGUCUUGUACACACCGCCCGUCACACCAUGGGAGUUGGGGGCGCCCGAAGCCGGCUAGCUAACCUAUUGGAAGCGGUCGUCGAAGGUGAAACCAAUAACU
This 1410-nucleotide ribosomal RNA is filed under the name uncultured organism. RNAcentral describes it as "SSU rRNA". It matches the Rfam family "Bacterial small subunit ribosomal RNA". The record is from RNAcentral.